AAGACUUUCAUUCAUAUAGGUUCCGUUUUUUAGGGAUUAAAAGGGAAGAGCCGUUAGAAGCGGUCGUGGUCCCGCCGCUGUGAGUGGGGACGAAACUAACAGCCCUGCCGAAAAGAGGCCAGGGUAAAGCCACUGCCUUAUUUCAGUAAGGUGGGAAGGCGUUGGUAGUAGGGUGAUCCACAAGCCAGAAGACCUGCCUAUAUGAUGGUCGCUAA
RNAcentral lists this non-coding RNA (215 nucleotides) under Nitrospinota bacterium. Lineage: Bacteria; Pseudomonadati; Nitrospinota. The record is from RNAcentral.